GCGGCGCGUUUUAAGCAUGCAAGUCGAGCGGUAAGCUAACUUCGGUUAGCCUAGAGCGGCGGACGGGUGAGUAACGCGUGGGCAACCUGCCCUGUAUAAAGGGAUAGCCACUGGAAACGGUGAUUAAUACCUUAUAAGACUACAGAAACACAUGUUUCAGUAGCCAAAGCUCCGGCGAUACAGGAUGGGCCCGCGUUUGAUUAGCUAGUUGGUAAGGUAAUGGCUUACCAAGGCGACGAUCAAUAGCCGCCCUGAGAGGGUGAAC
This 265-nucleotide ribosomal RNA is filed under the name uncultured bacterium. Its description in RNAcentral is "partial 16S ribosomal RNA". It matches the Rfam family "Bacterial small subunit ribosomal RNA", at positions 39 to 305 of the family's 1533-position model. The record is from RNAcentral.